RNAcentral lists this ribosomal RNA (253 nucleotides) under uncultured bacterium. RNAcentral's name for it is "partial 16S ribosomal RNA". It matches the Rfam family "Bacterial small subunit ribosomal RNA", at positions 524 to 776 of the family's 1533-position model. The record is from RNAcentral.
UACGGAGGGUGCGAGCGUUGUUCGGAAUCACUGGGCGUAAAGCGCACGUAGGCGGAUUGUUAAGUCAGGGGUGAAAUCCUGGAGCUCAACUCCAGAACUGCCUUUGAUACUGGCGAUCUCGAGUCCGGGAGAGGUGAGUGGAACUGCGAGUGUAGAGGUGAAAUUCGUAGAUAUUCGCAAGAACACCAGUGGCGAAGGCGGCUCACUGGCCCGGUACUGACGCUGAGGUGCGAAAGCGUGGGGAGCAAACAGG